GUGUUAGGACAAUGACACUAUGUGCCCGAGUGUGGGGAAGAGAAUCCUGUGUAAAGGCAAUAACAGGCACUCCAAUGGGAGAGCUCGCUUACUGUGUUGGCAAACAGCAGUGCAGUCUGCGCUGCCGGACCGAGCCUGCCGGGUGUAGGUGGGGAUGGUGUCAUGGACCUUGCAGACCAAGGAAAGGAACUUGCAUUUUGGUGUUUAACUUUUUACUUGGAGACAAUUUCAAAAUUACUGGACCGUUAUAUAAGUGUGGUACAAAAGAUGUCUGCAUACCUUGGCUGCAAACACCCCAGCCACCUGCAAACAUUCCUCCAUUCACCUGAAUUACCUCCCGCGUCUACCUGUGAUGUGUACCCAUAGCCUGCAGUCUGAACUCAGAAUAAGUUGCAUCCACCGUGUCCAUUUCCACUGAAAAUGCAGUGAAUAUCUCCCACAGUCACGCCCCUCCCGCUACACUGAAUUUACCACUGGUCGGUGGCUCUGCAGUGUGUGUGUGUUGGUCGUCUCUCCAGUCACCUUCAUUAGCAUCCUCCCCUUAGGACAAAUCACGGACGAAUGAUGCGUUGUGCUUUCUUGCUGGUAUCUUUUAAUGUGGCAUAGCUUCUCUCUUCUCUGUUGGAAUAGACUAUUUCUCCUUUGG
Molecule: long non-coding RNA, 646 nt
Filed under: Rattus norvegicus (Norway rat)
Lineage: Eukaryota; Metazoa; Chordata; Mammalia; Rodentia; Muridae
Description: long non-coding RNA NONRATT003220
Source: RNAcentral